GAUGAACGCUGGCGGCGUGCCUAAUACAUGCAAGUCGAGCGAACAGACGAGGAGCUUGCUCCUCUGACGUUAGCGGCGGACGGGUGAGUAACACGUGGAUAACCUACCUAUAAGACUGGGAUAACUUCGGGAAACCGGAGCUAAUACCGGAUAAUAUAUUGAACCGCAUGGUUCAAUAGUGAAAGACGGUUUUGCUGUCACUUAUAGAUGGAUCCGCGCCGCAUUAGCUAGUUGGUAAGGUAACGGCUUACCAAGGCAACGAUGCGUAGCCGACCUGAGAGGGUGAUCGGCAACACUGGAACUGAGAAACGGUCCAGACUCCUACGGGAGGCAGCAGUAGGGAAUCUUCCGCAAUGGGCGAAAGCCUGACGGAGCAACGCCGCGUGAGUGAUGAAGGUCUUCGGAUCGUAAAACUCUGUUAUUAGGGAAGAACAAAUGUGUAAGUAACUAUGCACGUCUUGACGGUACCUAAUCAGAAAGCCACGGCUAACUACGUG
Molecule: ribosomal RNA, 497 nt
Filed under: uncultured bacterium
Lineage: Bacteria
Description: partial 16S ribosomal RNA
Rfam family: Bacterial small subunit ribosomal RNA
Source: RNAcentral